ACUCUUGUUUGAUUUGCUUUGAUUUGCAU
This 29-nucleotide non-coding RNA is filed under the name Cricetulus griseus (Chinese hamster). Lineage: Eukaryota; Metazoa; Chordata; Mammalia; Rodentia; Cricetidae. The record is from RNAcentral.